This is a long non-coding RNA of Loxodonta africana (African savanna elephant), 25126 nucleotides long. RefSeq lists it as uncharacterized. NCBI's taxonomy places the organism in Eukaryota, Metazoa, Chordata, Mammalia, Proboscidea, Elephantidae. The transcript is spliced from 4 exons. The record is from RefSeq and is a predicted model, not a curated record.
CUAAAACGUAAUUGUACUUGGGACAGUGGUUUUCUUGGGUAAAAGUAAACAGAAUGGGAUGGGAUGGAGCAGAUAAAAGACUUCAACUACUUAUAUAAUAAUUUAUUUCUCCGGUUGAGUGGCCAGUACAUAAACAUGACAUUUUUAAAAGGACGUUAUGUGGUUCGAUUCCUUCCUGAAGACGUUUGGAAUCCCUCAUAACGUCUACCUUAAAAUUACCUAGCAUCUCUUGUACCAUUCUUAGUUCUUAGUAUCGUCAUUAUGCAUAUAUUAGUAUACUCGGCCUUAAUUUAGGAACUUCCAGGUACCAGCUUUAGGUAGAUUAGCAAGUACUCCUCUUCCGAGGUAAUUCCUGACGGCUCUCUCAAGUCCUCCCGGAACUCAGUUGGCCUUCAAAGGACUUCGGCCUGACCCCUUCGGCCAACCUUAGAAUAGCUCCUCCCAGAUCUCCACGUCUACCCGCACUCGGAGUCAUCUUCAAUUCGCUUCCUCAGCAAAACCAGAAUGUGCCUGCCCCGAGUGAGCGCCGGGCCGUCUCCCUGUAGCGGACUCUGGUCCACUCCCACCAGAAGUUGCAUUUCUUCUUCCUCACCUCCUUCCUAGCCGCCACGACCGGGGCCGACCCAGCGUUGCGAGCCUCACUUGUGCAGGUGGAGCAGCGAUUCACCUGCAACACCACUUCCGGCCUAACCUGCGUUCCCACAGAAAACGAAAAAAAAAACAAAACCCCACUUAAAUCCGGAAGAGCUGAGUAGACCCUCUGCGCAUGUGUGAAACCGCGGCCCGCUCUGGUCUUCCGCCUCUUGACGCACUCUCGUGGUAUCGCGAUAUUUUAUCCCCGGCCGGCGUUGUUUUUGAACACUGGCGGUAACCUAGUUCUCGCAGUUGCGAGACGCUCCAGGGCAGACGUGGGGUAGUGUGAGGAGACGGAGGAGUAUUCGGCCUUGGGUCGGUAACGCAGUCGGACAGCUGCAGGUGAGCACGGUCAGAGCUGGCUCCGGCUCUGUGGAUUCUGUCGAUUCAGAAGGCCUUUCAGCUGACCCAGCAGCCUACGGAACCGUAAGCGCGGGCCCCCAAGCCCUCAGCCGCCCACCUUCUCCCUCCUCCGCCCAGCUGUACACCAAAUACCAAAAAAAACCAAACCCGUUGCAGUCAAUUCUGACUCAUAGCGACCCCCUAGGAUGGGGUAGAACUGCGGCAUAGGGUGUCCAGCGAGCGGCUGAUGGAUUCGAACUUUCACCGUUUUGGUUAGCAGCCGAGUUCGUAACCACUGCGCCACCAGGACUCUGUACACCAGUGUACUAAAUCAAACCAAACCCAUUGCCGUGGGGUUCUAUUCCGAUUCAUAGAAGACCAAUAGAACAGAGUAGAACUGCCCCGUAGGGUGUCCAAGGAGCGGCUGGUGGAUUCGAACUGCCGACCUUUUUGGUUAGCAGCCAUAGCUCUUAACCUCUGCGCCACCAGGGCUCCAUACACCAAAAAAAAAAAAAACACUAUAAAGAAAUUUUUUUUAGAAUAGGUUUGUUGUUGUUGUUAAGCAUAUAGGCAACAUUUUCUAUUGCUACAGCCUUCACAUGUACAGGUCAGCGACAUGUUUAUCGUGUUCAACUAUAAUAUUUUGACAGUCUUUGUGAAAUAAUAACAGGAAACUUUGCAUUUUAAUAAUAUAAUUUUACCCGUUUACUUAUUUGUCAUUGUUGUUAGGUGCCAUCUAGUCGGUUCGGACUCAUAGCAACCCUUUGUACAACAGAACAAAACCCUGCCUUGUCCUGUGCCAUCCUCACAAUCGUUUUUAUGCUUGAGCCCAUUGUUGCAACCCCAGUGUCAGUCCAUCUCAUCGAGAACCUUCCUCUUUUUCGAUGAUCCUCUACUUUACCAAGCAUGAUAUCCUUCUCCAGGGACUGGUCCUUCCUGAUAACAUGUCCAAAGUAUGUGAGACAGGUGUCACUGUCCUUGCUUCUAGUGAGUAUUCUGGCUGUACUUCUUCCAAGACAGGUUUGUUUGUUCUUCUGGCAGUCCAUGGUAUAUUCAUUAUUCUUCGCCAACACUGUAAUUCAAAGACGUCAAUUCCUUAGUCUUCCUUAUAAUUGUCCAGCUUUUGCAUACAUAUGAGUCGAAUGAAAAUACCAUAGCGUGGGUCAGGCGCAACUUAGUCCUCAAAGUGACAUCUUUGUUUACUUAUUUAGAGGGCCGUGAUGUAUUUAAUUAUCAUAGUAGUCCUGUGUCUCUUUGUUAGCAGUUUACUGACUGUUAACAUAAACCUGCGUUUCAUUAACUACGUUUUGAAUAUAUUUACACACACAUAUACAUAUAUACGUAUAUAUUGAGCCCUGGUGUCACAACGGUUAAGCGCUUGGCUGCUAACGGGAAGGUUGGCGUUUGGAACCCGAUCAGCAGCUCCAUGGGAGAAGGACCUGGUGAUGUGCUUCCAUAACGAUUACAGCCUGGAAGACCCUGUGGGCACUUCUGCUCUGUCACAUGGGGUCGUGGUGAGUUGGAAUUGACUUGGUAGCAGAUAACAACAGUAUCUGUCUGUGGCUGAUUUUUCAGAAGUAGAUCACCAGGCCUUUCUUCCUAGUCCAUCCUAGUGUGAAAACUUCACUGAAAGCUGUUCAGCAUCAUAGCAACAUGAAGGCCUUCACUGACAGUGGCUGCACAGGAGGAAUCCAACCCACGUAUCCUGCACGAAAGGGGAGAAUUCUACCAUUGAACCAGCACAGCGGAGAUGCUCCUCAGAUAUUAACAUAUCUAUCUGUGUAUAUAUAUAUUUGUCUUGGAUAACUAGAUGAACAGUGACAAUAUCCAGUGAGCUGAAAAUACAGAAGAUUUGGCAACCUCAGAGGACAGAGAGAAUGAAACCAAAGGCAUCAUAGCUGUGGAAGAGGGAGAGAGGAGAGCAGUGCACUGCUGUGAAAUCAAGACAGACCUGGCAGAGGCGGGGCCAAGAACAUCAAAGACAAAGUUGAGGCAUCAGACUGAGUGGCAGUUCCGAAGCAGCGAAGAAGAGCCAGACUUGAGAAAGCCAGCACCCCACGGGCUGGAUUGGCUGGCCCACACUGGUUGAGGCAAGCAGUAGCGCUUGGGACACCUUUCACCACAUCGGGAGAGUGGGUGGCAGACAGUCUGCAUGAGCCUCUGGAGCCAGGGGUGUGCAAAAGAUAAGUGGAAGCGUCUUAACCUACUGCACAGGAUCAAAGUAACCCGUCCCCCUGGGAGUUUAGUAACGGAGAAGUGCCACUUUCCCCUCACCCACCCUCCUCCCCGCUGCACCCUGAUACCAGUCCAGCAGUAUUCAACAAUUGCCACAACCAUUAAGUCGGAAACAGGAGCUGUUGCACCCAAACCGCUCUUGAGGUAUAGAAAAAAAAAACUACCAUCUCUCCUAAGCUGAGUACUGAGGACAAACUGUGCCCACACCAGUCUCAUGGCUUUAAAAAAGUCAUCACGCCCCCUAAGCCAGGAACUCAGGGUAGGCACAGGCAUAAGGGAUCUAUGGACUUCGAAUGCCCUUUACUUCUGCCUAGACCUGUGUGGGUCAGUUCAACAGCAUAUGUCUUCAUUAGCAUAGGGCAACAGAGUAUAUACUUGAAGCAUAUUUUCAUCUGCAGCAGCCAACGGGGAGUUGCAGAUUUGUGACAUUUGACACUGCCCUGCCUAUUAAGUAGAGUCCUCACCAACAUCGGGGGCCCGAGGACUGGUAGUUUCACCCAUUACACCUAGCCAUCCACGACAGGGGUCUGGGAAUAAGUGGUGCCUCCCAGUCCUUACAGCCAACAGCAUUGAGUGCCCAAAGUCUGGCUGUAAAACCCACCCAUCUACGUGUUCUAGGGGACAGGGACACGCCUUCCAGCUAGGCACACAGGGGCAGCCAUCAGACCCUACCUUGCUGUGCAUAUAGCCUUCUACUACAGCCAGAUACCUGGGCCUGCUUCAGUCACCCCUAUGUAGCCCUCCCUGUCUAGGACUAUAGAUUAGAGUCUGUACCACACACUGAGUGACUGACGACCAGGAAACCUGAGCUGAAUCCACACAAGAAAAGUAAAACAGACUCCUGGGCUUAUGUACCUAGUAGCAGCUGUAACCACCUGCUAACAGGACAUGAAUGCUUCAAAGACACCAGUAACCAAAGUAGCUCACAUACCCAGCCUGUUUGGGUGUAUCAAAACAAGAAGCUGUGACGCAGUAAGCAAUACAAUAAAUAAAUAUAAUAACUUAUCGAAGGUUCAGAGACAACAGUCAAUAUCAAAUCACAUAAAGAAACAGAUCAAGAUGGCUUGAGCGAGUGACAAAAACAAAGAACCAGGAAACCUUCUGGAGGAAGAGGAUGUCUUGGAGUUAUCACAGGUAGAAUUCCUAAGAUUAGUAUACAGAACUCUUCAAGAGAUCAGGGAGGAUAUGAAGCAAGUUGCAGAACAAACCAAGGAACGCAUGGACAAAGUGGCAGAGGAAAUUAAGAACACGUGGCAAGAACCCAUAGAGAGACAGCAAAUAGAAAUCCAAAAGAUUAACAAAGUUUCAGAAUUAGACAACUCGAUAGAAGGUCAUAGGAGCAAAAUUGAGGCAGUGGAAGUCAGAAUUCGUGAGACCAAAGAUAAAGCCGUUGAGACCAAUUUAUUUGAGGAAAAAUCAGAUAAUAGAAUUAAAAAAAUGAAGAAACCAUAAGAAUUAUGUGGAACACUAUCAUGAGAAAUAACCUACGAGUGAUUGGAGUACCAGAACGGCGGGGGAGGCGGAUAACAGAAAAUACAGAGAGAAUUGUUGAAGAUUUGUUGGCAGAAAACUUCCCUGAUGUGAAAAACGAGAAGAUAUCUAUCCAAGAUGCUUAUCGAACCCCACCCAGGGUAGAUGCCAAAAGAAAGUCACCAAGACAUAUCAUAAUCAAACUUGAUAAAACCAGAGAUAGAGAAUUUUAAGAGCGGCUAGGGAUAAAUGAAAAGUCAUCUACAAAGGAGAGUCAGUAAGACUAAUCCCUGACUACUCAGCAGAAACCAUACAAGCAAGAAGGCAAUGGGAUGACAUAUAUAAAGCCUUGAAGGAAAAAAAUUACCAGCCAAGAAUUAUAUAUCCAGCAAAACUGUCUCUCAAAUAUGAAGGUGAAAUUAGGGCAUUUCAAGAUAAACGGAAGUUUAGGGAAUUUGUAAAAACCAAACCAGAAUUACAAGAAGUAUUGAAGGGAGUCCUCCAGCUAGACAACCAACAAUAUCAGACAACAACCCAAGACUAGAACACGGGAAAGAACAACAAGAUAUCAACCCAGAUGGGGAAGUCACAAAAAUAAGUCAAAGCUAAAAGACUGAAAAUAGGGAAACAGAGAUGUCAAUAUGUAAACGAUGACAACAUUAAAACAAAAAAGAGGGACUAGAUAGUGUAGACAUACAACUUGCAUAUAGAGAGGAAGUUAAGGCAAUAUCACAAAGUAAAAGAUUGGUUUAAAUUUAGAAAAAUAGAGGUAAACUUUAAGGUAAAAUCAGAGAGGAAAGUAACCUACCCAUCAAAAUAAAAAAGAACAUAGAAGACUCAGCAAAUACAAAAUCAAUAAUAAUGAAAAGAAAAUAUAUAAAGGAAAAUGACUCAGCACAGAAAAUUAAGUGGAACAAAGAAAAUGUGAACACCAUAAAAAAAGUACAUCAAAAUCACAGCACUGAACUUAUGCCUAUCAAUAGUUUUACUGAAUGUAAAUGGACUAACUGCAUCAACAAAGAGACAGAGAGGCAAAAUGGAUUAAAACAAACAAAAAAACCCGUGAUCUGUCUAUGUGCUGCCUACAAGAGACACGCCUUGGACUCAAAGACAAAAACAACUAAAACUCAAAGAUGGAAAAAAUACAUCAAGUAAACAACAACCAAAAAAGAGUAGAGUGGCAUUGUUGAUCUCUGCCAAAAUAGACUUUAAAGCAAAAUCCACCACAAAGGAUAGGGAAGGACAUUAUAUAAUGAUUAGAGGGUCAAUACACCAGGAGGACAUAACCGUGAUAAAGGUAUAUGCACCCAAUGACAGGACUCCAAAAUACAUAAAACACACUCUUAACAGCAUUGAAAAGAGAAACAGGCAGCCCAACAAUAAUAGUAGGAGACAUCAACACACCACUUCCGGUGAAGGACAGAAUAUCUAGAAAGAAGCUCAGUAAAGAUACAGAAGAUCUAAAUGCCAUAGUCAACGAGCUUGACCUCAAAGACAUAUGCAGAACACUCCACCCAACAGCAGCCAAGUAUACUUUCUUUUUCAGUACACAUGGAAAAUUCUCCAGAAUAGAUGACAUAUUAGGCCACAAAGCAAGCCUUAAUAGAAUCCAAAACCUUGAAAUAUUACAAAGCAUCUUUUCUGACCAUAAAGCCAUAAAAGUAGAAAUCAAAAACAAGAAGCAAGGAAAAAAGACAAAAUCAAAUACAUGGAUAAGAGUUUAAUCUCUAAAAUCUACAAGAUACUACAGCACCUCAACAACAAAAAGGCAAUUAAAAAAUGGACAAAGGAUAUGAACAGACAUUUCACCAAAGAAGACAUUUAGGCUGUUACAGACACAUGAGGAAAUGCUCACCAUUAGCCAUUAGAGAACCGCAAAUCAAAACUACAGUGAGGUAUGAUCUCACCCCAGCAAGGCUGGCACUAAUCCAAAAAACACAAUAAAUGUUGCAGAAGUCGUGGAGAGACUGGAACACUUACACACUGCUGGUGGAAAUGUAAAAUGGUACAACCACUUUGGAAAUUGAUUUGGUGCUUAAAAAGCUAGAAAUGGAAGUACCACACGAUCUAGGAAUCCCACUCCUUAGAAUAUAUCCUAGAGAAAUAAGAGCCCUCACACAAAUAAAUACAUGCACACUCAUGUUCAUUGCAGCCCUGUUCACAAUAGCAAAAAGAUGGAAACAACCUAGGUGCCCAUCAACAGAUGAAUGGGUAAAUAAAUUGUGGUACAUACACACAAUGGAAUACUACGCAAAUGAUAAAAAAAAUCCGUGAAACACCUCACAACAUGAAUGAAUCUGCAGGGAAUUGUGCUCAGUGAAAUUAGUCAAUCACACAGGACAAAUAUUGUAUGAAACCACUAUUACAAGAACUCAAGAAAAGGUUUAAACAGAGGAGGAAACAUUCUUUGAUGGCUAGGUAGGUGGGGAGGGAGGGAGAAGGAAGUUCACUAACUAGAUAGCAGAUAACACACAAUACAGGGAAAGCACAACUGGACUAAAAAGCUAAGAAGUUUCCUGAACACAACCAAACACUUGGAGGAACAGAGUAGCAGUGGCUGGGUCCUGGGGACCAUGGUUUUGGGGGACAUCUAGGUCACUUGGCAUAACAGUUUAUUAAGAAAAUGUUCUGUAUCCCAAUUUGGUGAGUGGCUUCUGGGAUCUUAAAAGCUUUUAAGAGCCAUCUAAGAUGCAUCAGUUGGUCCCAACCCACUUAAAGCAAAGGAGAAUGAAGACACCAGGAAAAUAUUAGCCCAAGAGACAAAAGAGCCACAUAAACCAGAGAGAUUUCAUCAGUCUGAGACCAGAAGAACUAAAUGGUGCUUAGCUACCACCGUUGACAUUCCUGACAGAGAACACAACAGAGAGUCCCUGAUGGAGUGAGAGAAAAUGGCAGAGGAGAACUCAAAUUCACAUAAAAAGACCAGACUUAAUGGUAUGACUGAGACUGGACAAAACCCCAAAGCCACGGCCCCUGGUUGCUCUGUUAAUCCAGAACUAAAACCAUUCCCAAAGCCCGCUCUUUAGACAAAGAUUAGACUGGAUUAUAAAACGACACAAAGAGUGUUCAAUCAGAUAUACGAGUCCAAAUGGGAAGCUCAUCUCCAGAGGCAGGAUGAGAAGGCAGGAAGGACCAGGAACUGAUCAAUGGACACAAGAAACCUGGGGUAGAAAGGGGGAGUGUGCUGUCACAUAGGGUUUGCAACUAAUGUCACAUAAUAAUAUGUAUAUAAAUUUUUGUAUGAGAAAUUAAUGUGAGCUGUAAACUUUGAUCCAAAGAACAAUUAAAAAAAAAAAACCUGUCCUCAAAUCCUACUUUUGCCUCUCUGAUUACCUUAUCUGUGAAGUUGCAGAUGACAGAAUCUAUUUCAUAAUGUUGUGAGAUAAUGUAGUGCCUGUCAUAUAGUUAGCCUUUCAAUAACUGAUGGCUAUCAUCAAUUUGAUUUCUGUGUGUUCCAUCUGGCGAGGUCCAUGUGUAUAGUCGCCAUUUAUGUUGGUGAAAGAAGAUAUUUGCGAUGAAGUCGUUGGUCUUGCAAAAUUCUAUCAUUUGAUCUCCAGCAUUGUUUCUAUCACCAAGGCCAUAUUUUCCAACUACUGAUCCUUCUUCUUUGUUUCCAACUUUCGCAUUAAAAUUACCAGUGAUUAUCAAUGCAUCUUGAUUGAAUGUUCGAUCAAUUUCAGACUGCAGCAGCUGAUAAAAGUCUUCUGUUCAUCUUUGGCCCUAGUGGUUGGUGUGUAAAUUUGAAUAAUAGUCAUAUUAACCGGUCUUCCUUGUAGGUGUAUAGAUAUUACCCUAUCACUUGACAGCAUUGUACUUCAGGAUAGAUCUUGAAAUCUUAUUUUUGACGAUGAAUGCAACACCACUCCCCUUCGAGUUGUCAUUCCCAGCAUAGUAGACUAUAUGAUUGUCCAAUUCAAAAUGGCCAAUACCACUCCAUUUCAGCUCACUAAUGCCUAGGACAUCGAUGUUUAUGUGUUCCAUUUCAUCUUUGAUGAUUUCUAAUUUUCCUAGAUUCAUACUUCGUACAUUCCAGGUCCCGAUUAUUAAUGGAUGUUUGCAGCUGUUUCUUACUCAUUUUGAGUCGUGCCACAUCAACAAAUGAAGGCCCCGAAAGCUUUACUCCAGCCACAUCAUUAAGGUCCACUCUACUUUGAGGAGGCAGCUCUGCCCCAGUCGUGUCUUGAGUGCCUUCCAAACUGGGGGGCUCAUCUUCCAGCACUAUAUCAGACAGUGUUCCGCUGCUAUUCAUAAGGUUUUCACUGGCUAAUACUUUUCAGAAGUAGACUGCUGGGUCCUUGUUUUCUAGUCUGUCUUAGUCUGGAAGCUCAGCUGAAAUCUGUCCUCCACGGGUGACCCUGCUGGUAUCUGAAUACCGGUGGCAAAGCUUCCAGCAUCGCAGCAACACGCAAGUCCCCACAGUACGACAAACUGACAACUGGACCAGUGAGCAACAUCAUGAUAAAUGGAGAAAAGAUUGAAGUUGUCAAGGAUUUCAUUUGACUUGGAUCCACAAUCAACAGCCAUGGAAGCAGUAGUCAAGACAUCAAAAGACACAUUGCAUUGGGUAAACCUGCUGCAAAGGACCUCUUUAAAGUGUAGAGCAAAGAUGUCACCUUGAAGACUAAGGUGCGCCUGACCCAAGCCAUGGUAUUUUCAAUUGCAUCAUAUGCAUGUGAAAGCUGGACAAUGAAUAAGGAAGACUAAAGAAGAAUUGGUGCCUUUAACUUGUGGUGUUGGCGAAGAAUGUUGAGUAUACCAUGGACUGUCAGCAGAGCGAACAAAUCUGUCUUGGAAGAAGUACAACCAGAAUGCUCCUUGGAGGCAAGAAUGGCAAGACUGGGUCUUACAUACUUUGGACGUGUUGUCAGGAAGGAUCAGUCUCUGGAGAAGGACAUCAUGGUUGGCAAAGUACAGAGUCAGUGGAAAAGUGGAAGACCCUCAACAAGGUGGAUUGACACAGUGGCUGCAACAAUGGGCUCAAGCCUAACAACAACUGUAAGUAUGGCUCAGGACCUGGAAGUGUUUCGUUCUGUUGUGCAUAAGGGAGCUAUGAGUCAGAACCGACUCGACGGCACCUAACAACAACAAUCAUCAACGCCAAGAACAGCCUUAAGGUUGGAGAGGAAGAUCUCAGAGGUAUUAUGCUGUAGGCAAAGGAAGUAAUAUUUCUCAGGAAUGUGCAGGAAGAGACCGAAAGGAUUAAACCUAUAAUUCUUUGUUAAUACAUGUUGUUAUUAGGUGCUGUCAAGUUGGUUCUGAUUCAUAGUGACUGUACAACAGAAUGAAACACUGCCCUAACCUGUGCCAUCCUCACAAUCUUUGUUAUACUUGAUCCCGUUGUUGUAGCCACUGUGUCAGUCCAUCUCAUCCAGGGUCUUCCUCUUUUUCGCUGACUUACGUUGCCAAGCAUGAUGUUCUUCUCCAGGGACUGGUCCCUCUUGAUAACAUGUCCAAAGUACAUGAGACGAAGUCUCAUCAUCCUUGGUUCUAAGGAGCAUUCUGGUUGUACUUCUUUGAAGACAUUUGUUUCUUCUGGCAGUCCAUGGUAUAUUCAAUAUUCUUUGCCUAUACCAUAAUUCAGAGGCAUCAUUUCUUCUUCAGUCUUCCUUAUUCUUUGUCCAGCUUUUGCAUGCGUAUGAGGAGACUGAAAAUACUAUGGCUUGGGUCAGGCGCACCUUAGUUCUCAAAGUGACGUCCUUGCUUUUCAACACCGUAAAGAGGCGUGUUGCAGGAGAUUUGCCCAAUGCAAUGUUUUGUUUGAUAUCUUGUCUGCUGCUUGCAUGAGUGUUGAUUAUGGAUCCAAGUAAAAUGAAAUCCUGGACAAUUCCAAUGUUUCCUCCAUUUGUCAUGAUGUUGCUUAUUGGUCCAAUUGUGAGGAUUUUUGUUUUCUUUAUGUUGAGGUGCAAUCCAUACUGAAAGGCGUAGUCUUUGAUCUUCAUGAGUAAGUGCUUCAAGUCCUCUUCACUUUCAGCAAGCACGGUUGUGUCAUCUGCAUGUCGCAGGUUGCUAAUGAUUCUUCCCCCAGUGCUGGUGCCGAGUUCUUCGUAUAGUCUAGCUUCUCAGAUUAUUUGCUUGGUAUACAGAUUGAAUAAGUAUGGUGCAAGGAUACAACCCUGACGCACACCUUUCCUGACUUUAAACCACAUAGUACCCCCUUGUUUUGUUCAAACGACUGCCUCUUGGCCUAUGUACAGAUUCCUCAUGAGCACAAUUGCGUGUUCUGGAAUUCCCACUCUUUGCAGUGUUAUCUGUAAUUUGUUAUGAUGUGUAGUUGAAUGCCUUCGCUUAGUCAAUAAAACACGGGUAAACAUCUUUCUGGCAUUCUCUGCUUUCAGCCAAGAUCCAUCUGACAUCAAUAAUGAUGUCCCUUGUUCCGCAUCCUCUUCUGAUUCUGACUUGAACCUCGGGCAGUUCCCUGUCGAUGUACUGCUGCAGUCGCUUUUGAAUGAUCUUCAGCGGAACUGUACUUGGGUGUGAUAUUAUAUUAAUGAUAUUUUUGAUAAUUUCUGCAUUCUCGUGGACCACCUUUCUUUGGAAUGGUCAGAAAACAUGAAUAAACAGCGUUCCUUUUAUUUUGACCUAUCCUAAAACUGGCUCAAAUUAGAUAUUUACAUUUGGUUAAUACUUCACAAGGAUAUUUAUUCACUGUUUCCUCUACAGAUUAGGUCGGUAUUACCUACUGUUUUAUAGGUCUAUUAUUCACCUAUUCAAAGGUUAUUUUGCCAGAGAUCUGGUAUCAACAGAUGUGCACACUUACAUUUAUUUUUCUAGCAAUGUUAAACCACAAAUCAGUUACUCCUUGUCACCAACAAUAACACCUUUGCAAAGAAAAGUUUAUAACCUUCCACAGUGUCAGUUACUUGGGAAUAUUUAAACUAUGUAAGGAUAACGAAGCAAUGGAUUGAUACAGUUUUAACUUCCUCAAAAAUGCUAGUAAGAAAAAUAGUAUGCACAUUUUAGGUUGGGAAUGUUGAAGGGAGGCUUACUUGAAUCAUCCAAAUUGAACUUUUUAUUCCCAAUGAUUUCUAAGCCUGGUUUUGCAAAAGAACAAGGUACCUCUGAUGAUCUCUUGGGAUAUUCUUAUUAUUUUAAUGUAUGUAAUAAUAUUGGCAGUUUAAUUCCACCAAGAGGCACCUUGGGAGAAAGGCCUGGUGAUCAAUUCUAAAAAAGUCAUCUGCUGAAAACCCUAUGGAACACAGUUCUGCUCUGACAAACAUGAGGUCACCACUGAGUUGAAAUUAAUUAGAUGGUGACUUGUUGAUUUUAUAAUAAUAUUAAAAGAUACUGAAUUUUUACUGUGCCAGGUACUAUGCAAAGCCUGUUACAGAUAUUAAUUCAGUUAAGCCUCACAACAGUAUGAGGUAUGCAUUUCUGUUUCCCCUUGUUUACACGUGAAAACCGGAGAGGAAAGGUAGUUUGCCCUGGGUAACACAGCUGGGGAGCCCUGGUGGCCUAGUGCUUAAGACCUCAACUGCUGACCGAAAGGUCGGCAGUUCAGAUCCAUCAGCCACUCUUUGGAAACUUGAUCGGGUAGUUCUACUGUGUCCUAUAGGGUCGCUAGGAGUUGGAAUCGACUCCACGUACCCAACAAUAACAACAACACAGCUGGAUGGGAGCUCAGAUCUGUUUGAUCCAGACCUCAGACUUCUAACAUUGGUAUUCUCAGAACCUUCAAAACUGAUUUAUUUUCUGAAAUAAACAUAUGCCUUAAGUAGGAUUUUUAAAAAGUUAAUAGGACUUUAUUUUGUAGAAUAGUUUUAUGUUUACAGAAAAAGUGAGCAGCAAGUACAGUUUUUAUAUACAACCUCUCCCCCUACCCACAGUUUCCGCUGUUAUUAACAUUUUGCAUUGGUGUGGUAUAUUUGUUACAAUUACUGAGCCAAUAGUGAUACAUUCUUAUUAACUAAGGUCCAUAGUUUUUGUGUUGUACAGUUCUAUAGGUUUGACAAACACGUAAUGUCAGAUAUUCACCAUUUCAGUAUGAUACAGUUUCACUGCUCUAAAAAUCCCCUGUGCUCCACCUAUUCAUUCUGCCCUACUUUCCCCUCAGGCCCUGGCAAACCGAAAAACCCAGUGCCCACCAGUCAGUUCUGACUCAUAGCGAUCCCCUAGGGUUUCCAAGGCUGUAAAUCUUUGUGGAGGCAGAUUACUGCAUGUUUCUGUUGGCUUUGAACUGUUGACCUUUGGUUAGCAGUCAAAUGCAUUGACCACUGCUCCACCAGGGCCCUAUAAGCCCUGGCAACCACUGAUCUUUUUACUGAGGCCCCAGAAGAAGCAAAUGAUUUGCCCAGGGUAUAAGUAGUAAUUCUGAGUGGUUAGUGGCAGAGGUGGGAUUAGAACUGAGGUCAAUGUUUUAUGUAUUAACUAUGCUAUAAAACACACAUAAAAACCCAUUCCCACAUACACACACACAAACCCAGCUGUAAGCCAGGUAAGUGGGAAGUAGACAUAUGACACCCCUAUUCUUUCUGCCUACAUAUCUCUCAGCAUUUACAGUUUCUCAGGGAAUUGCCGUAUAUGCGUGGAAAAUUUUUUUGUUUUAACUAUGUUUUUGGGUUUAUGAGUUUUUUUGUUGAUGUUUUGUUUUUUAAUGUCAGGGGGAGGGAGGAAGGAAGCAGAACUAAUGGUUCCCUAAACACUUUUCCUGUCUGUAGGCAGGGAUUAAGCAAUCACCUGCCAGAUUUCAUCACUACAGUGAAUGUCAGGCUGACAAUUUACUGGAAACUUAUCAUUCUUUUCUAUUCCAAAAACUUGUAAUAGUUCCCUCCCAACAUGAUGUAAACAGUUGAGUAAAGUCGUCCCUGAAAAUAGCCACCCUACCUUCAGGCCAUGUACAUGUACACUGUACCUUUCCUGAUCUCUUCGUGUCAGCCCAUAAUAGAGCCUUUAAUUGGAGGUCAAAGACCUGAUGUUGGCUAGGAAGUACUUAGUAAGAAUAAGAUAAGUAACACAGAGAUACAGUCACAAGAUGGAAGACUCUUCUCUGUCUACAAAUUUUGCAAAGAAACAUUACAGACCAUUGCUGUCAAGUCGGUUCCAACUCAUAGCAACCCUAUAGGAUAGCGUAGAACUGCCCUAUAGAGUUUUCAAGGAUCCCUGGUGGAUUCGAACUGCCAGCCUUUUGGUUAGCAGCCAUUAGCACUUAACCACUACACCACGAGAGUUUCCAAUAAAUACAUUAGUUCUCCACAUUUGUAAUGAAGUAAACUAUGGCCUUGGCACCAUCUAAAACCAAGUGGAUUCCAACUCAGUGACCCUGUCGGACAGAGUAGAACUGCCCCAUAGGGCCUUCUAGGCUGUGAUCUUUACAGAAGCAGACUGCCAUGUCUUUGUCUUGCAGAGCAGUUGGUGGGUUCAAACCAUCGACCUUUCGGUUGGCAUUAUCUAAGCUAUCUCUAAAUGACAACCUAGGGGAUGGGACUACUCUAUGUUUGGACCUCAUGUUGGUUGUGGAGCAGCCCACAUUGUUCUCAAGGAGAAUAAUUGGAAACCUGUGGUAAAAGUGGUGAUGACAGCUGCGUCCCACCCCGAACCCAAUUUAGGUAUGAAUUCUUGCUCUGGGGUCACAACGAGAACCAGUGAGAGGGAAACAAUUGUUGAAAACAAGAAGGAUUUUAAAUAUACCCUGUUUGGGUUUUGGUUAAUCUUUCUUUAAAGAAAAUAUAUGCAUUACUGAAUAAUGAGAAUUUUCAUUUGUAAAGACCUUUCAAAUUCUCAUUUAUUCAUGGAUCAUAAAAUAUUUUAUGCUUAUUACGUGUGCCUUGGAGUCCUUGGGUGGUACUAAUGUUUAAUGUGCUUGGCUGCUAACUGAAAGGUUGAGAGUUUGAGUCCACCUAGAGGUGCCUUUAAAGGAAAACCUGGUUGGUCAUCUACUUCUGAAAAAUCAGCCAUUGACUAGUACAAAUCAGACAAAGGUCUAAUUUCUAAAAUCUGCAGUAAAUUCAACACCUCUACAACAAAAACACAAAUAAUCCAGAUAAAAACUGGGCAAAGGAAAUGAACAGAAGCUUCACCAAAGAUAUUAAAGCAGCCAGCAGAAACGUGAGGAAAUGCUCGCAUUCACCAGUCAUUAGAGAAAUGCAAAUCAAAACCACAAUGAGAUACUGUCUCACCCCAGCAUUGCUGGCAUGAAUCAAAAAAACAGGAAACAACAAAUGUUGGAGAGCCUGCGGGAGCCUGCGGAGAGAUUGGAUCUCUCAUGCACUGCUGGUGGGAAUGCAAAAUGUUACAGCCAUUUUGGAAAACGAUGUGGCACUUCCUUAGAAAGGUAGAAGAAGAAAUGCCAUAUGAUCUAGCAAUCCCACACCUAGGGAAUACAUCCUAGAGAAACAAGACUCGUCACAUGAAUAGACACAUGCACACCCAUUUCAUUGCGACAUUGUCCACAAUAGCAAAAAGAUGGAAACAACCUAGAUACCCAUCAACGGAUGGAUAAACUGUGGUACAUACACACACAAUGGAGUAUUACACAGCGAUAAAGAACAAUGAUCAAUCUGCAAAGCAUCUCACAACAUGGAUGAAUCUGGAGGGCACUAUGCUAGGUGAAAUACGUCAAUCACAAAAGGACUAAUAUUGUAUGAGACCAGUACUGUAAAAACACAUGAAAAGGUUUAUACACAAAAAGGAACAAUUUUUGAUGGUUAUGAGGAAGGGGGGGGUGAGGAUGUAAAAACACUAAGUAGACAAUAGAUAAGUGGUAACUUUGGUGAAGGGUAAGACAGUACGCAAGACUGGGGAACCCAGCACAGCUUGUACAAGGCAAGGUCAUGGAAGCUCCAUAGACACAUCCAAACUCCCUGAGGGACCGAAUUGCUGAGCUGAUGACUAUAGGAGCCAUGGUCUUGGGGAACAUCUAGCUCAGUUGACAACCCAGUUUAUAAAGGUACGUGUUCUACAUCCUACUUUGAUGAGUAGCAUCUGGGGUCUUUAAAGCCUGUGAGUGGCCAUCUGAGAUUCCCCACUGGUCUCACUCCUUGGGGAGCAAGGAAAAAUGAAGAAAACUAAACAUACAAGGGAAAGAGACCACAUCUACCACAGCCUCCACCAGACAGUCUGGUACAAUGAGAUGAUGCAUGGUUACCACCACUGAGUGCUCUGACAGGGAUCACAAUAGAGGGUCCCAGACAGAGCUGGAGAAAAACAGAACAAAAUUCUAACAAAAAAAGACCAGACAUACUGGCCUGAUAGAGACUGGAGAAACCCUGAGAGUAUGGACCCCAGACACCCUUUUAGCUCAGUAAUGAAGUCACCCCCAAGGUUCACCCUUCAGCCAAAGAUUAGACAGGCCCAUAAAACAAAAUGACAUUCAAGGGGGGCACAACAGCCCAGGGGCCAGGACUAGAAGGCGGGAGGGGACAGGAAAGCUGGUAAUAGGGAACCCAGUUUGAGAAUGGAGAGUGUUGACAUGAUGUGGGGUUGUUAAACAAUGUCAUAAAACAGUAUGUGCACUGUUUGAGAAACUAGUUAUAUAAGCCUUCAUCUAAAGUACAAUUUUUAGCCGUUGAAACCCCUGUGAAGGACAGUUCUACUCCAACACACAUGGGAUCACCAUGAGUUGGAAUCUACUCAACGGCAGCUGGUACACCUGUGUGCCUAUUUUUCUGGGGACACAGAUAAUAGACUAAUAAGUACAUUGUUUCCUUGUCUCCUUGAGGGUCUUCCUCAAGGAGAUGGAUUGACAGCGUGGCUCCCACAAUGUCCUUAAAUAUAGCAACGAUUGUGAGGAUGGCGCAGGACCACACAGCGUUUCAUUCUGUUGUACACAGGGUUGCUGUAAGUUGGAACCGACUUGAUGGCACCUAGUAACAACAGGGAAAUUGUAAUAAAAUGACAGGUAGUUAAAAGUGCUAAGAAAUAAAAUUAUGUGUUUAACAGACUACAUUUUUAUUUAUAUAAUUAUUCUGAUUUUUUAUUCAUUAAAAUACGUAGUUUAAGCUGCAGUCAUCCAGAGGAGGGAUUGGAAUUAACAAGGAGUAAACAAUGACCACUCACGGCAGGCUGCUUCUGGAAUGGGUAGACAUUGCAACUUUUUGAGUCUCUUUAAAAGCUGUGAGAUUCUUAAGAACAGCAGUCUGGGCUUGUUCAACCUUAUAUCCUGAGCCUCUAGCAUCAUCCUUCCUGCACAGUAGGAGUAAAGUUAAUGCUGCAUAAAUGAAAACAGAAUUCUUAGAGUCCCAAAUGGAUGAUUCCUUCUCAGUCUUCAGGACUGAGUUUAGUGACCAUUUCUACCAGUAAGCCCUCUCUGACUAUCUGGAAGCUAGAUUAAGACUGUGUGUUCAUGGGACCUCCACUUACUCUCAUCUCCGGAGGUAUCAUUCUCUGUUUACUUGUCUCUCUACCAUUAAGACAGAGCAGGAAUUUUAUCUUAGUCACCUUUGGCUCCAGAUCACAGGUUAAUAACACAUGUUAGGCAUUUAGUUUGUUGACAUGAAUUAAUGACAGACAAUUGUCCUUUGAUUGUAAGGUUAAGUACAUGUUAUGGAAUUAAAAAAGAUAACAGAUUCACACCCAUGUUCAUUGCACCAUUAUUCACAAUAGCAAAAAGGUAGAAACAACCUAAGUGUCCAUGAACAGAUGAGUGGAUAAGUAAAUUGUAGUAAAAAAAUAGAAUAGUGUGCAGCAGUAAAGAAUAAUGAUGAGUCUGUGAAACAUCCUGUAACAUGGAUGAAUCAAGGACAUUGUGCUGAAUGAAGUAAGUCAAAUACAAAAGGAUGAAUACUGCAUGAUACCACUUUUAUAAAAAGUCAAGAUUAGGUAUACACACAGAAAGCAACAUUCUUUGAUGGUUACCAGGGAUGGGUAGGGGAGUGUCAUGGAUUGAAUUAAGUCACCCCCAAAAUGUGUGUUUCAGUUGGGCUGGGCCAUGAUUCCCAGUAUUGUGUGAUUUUCCUCUAUGUUGUAAAUCCUGCCUUUAUGAUGUUAAUGAGGGAGGAUGGGUGGCAGUUGUGUUAGUGAGGUGGAACGCAAUCUAGAAGACUGGAUUGUGUCUUGAGGCAAUCUCUUGAGACAUAAAAGAGAGAAGUGAGGAAAGAGACAAAGGGACCUCAUACCACCAAGAAAGCAGUGCUGGGAGCAGCGCGUGUUCUUUGGACCUGGGGUCCCUGCACAGAGAAGCUCCUAUCCUGGGGAAGAUUGAUGAGAAGGCUGACAGAGGAAGAAAGCCUUCCCCUGGAGCUGACACCCUGAAUUUGGACUUUAGUCUACUUUAUGCUCUUCUGUUACAUCUUUGUAUAUGUUCAAGCAUUUCUUCUCAUGUACUAGGUUUCAGUGAACCCCGCACCCUGUAAAAAGGGCACAGUAAGUGGAGCUUGUGUUCCAGUCUGAUGCCCCAUUCUUUUAGUCAAGACUGGGAAAUGUGUGCUCCAAACAUGCAAACCUGAAGUUCCGGGAAUGGACACUGAGACUUGUUAAAGACACAAAAGAGCCACUGAACAGGAAAAAUGCUUAGCGUGGGAGAUACCAUCCAAGGAGCUGGCAGCAACCCUGGCUGGCUACAGAGGCCUAAUCAAGGCCUAGAGUGUAGUGUGCCUGUUAUGCAGGAACUGCUGCGGGGGCUUGGUGGUCUGAGGAGUAGAAGCCAGCUGGAACUCAUUGGAAUGGUUUCCUAGUGACAGUUGGGAGAUUCCCACAUCAGAAGGAUGGGCUCAUGUGGCAGGAGAUGGAGCCAGAGGCAUCCAGGCACAGGUACUGGAAGCAUCUUCAGACUCUCUUACCGUGUCUAUAAGGCAGUCUGGGACUCCACCAGAGUAGACAGCUCUGGCAUUGCAGACCUACUAGUGGUUGAUGCUAAUUAUACUGAAACAGUAAAAUAAAUAAAGAUGCUUUCAUUUUUCAGCUAUAAAAAUUUUGGGAAAAAAGUAGCUUACCCCCUAAUCAGCCACAGUCGCGCCACCAAAAGUCUACCAGUGUUACCAUUUUGAUAUGUUUCCUUUUUGCCCCCUUUUGGAUGUAUUUAUAAAAUACAGUUGUCAUAGGAUUGUUUUGUAGUAUAUUAGUUUCUGCUUGUCACAUAUACUAAUUUAUCAUAAACAGUUUUCCAUGUAAAAUGCCUUGUGUACAUCAUUAAAAACUUCAGUUGAUGUAUUUCUGAUGUUAAAAGUAAAAUAUACUCAUUUUAAGAAAUUGGAAAUAAUAUAAAAGGGGAUAAUUCGGGGGAUAAUUCUUAUCAUUUAGAGAAAAUAUCCUGUUAUGAUUUUGCCUUUCUUCUUUACAGUCUUUUUAUGCAUUUUUUAACUUAGUGAGGAUUAUACUAUCGGUACAGUUUUGAUGCUGCUUUUUUCAGUUGACAUUUCUACCAUACCCAUUUCCCCAGUGUCACCUAAAAUGCUAUCCCUGUUUUCAAGGAGAAAACCCUGGUGGCAUAGUGGUUAAGUGCUGUGGCUGCUAACCAAAAGGUUGAGGAUAGUUCGGGUCCCAUGGGAGAGGGUAGAUGGGGAUCAAAGGGCCGUAUAAACAGAGAAUCUAGGGACAAAACAUAUGUACAGUGUGGGUUAGAAUAAAAUUUUGGGAUAAAUAUAAAAUGACUGUACUCACAAUUAGUAUGUUGCCACUGAUUAUAUAAUCAAAUAUUUUUUCCUUUAAUAGCAUUAUUCUUUUUUAUUGUGCUUUAAGUGAAAGUUUACAGAGCAAAUUAGUUUCUCAUUCAACAAUUCAUACACAAAUUGUUUUGUAACAUUGGUUGCAAUCCCCGCCAUGUGUCAACACUGUCCCCCUUCCCCAGCCCGGGUUCCCUGUCACUUCCUGCCGUCUCAUCUUUGCUUUUAGGCAAGUGUUGCCCAUUUGGUCUCAUAUGAUUAAACUAAGAAUCAUGUUCCUCAACCGUGUUGUUGUUUGUCUAAUCCUCGGCUGAAGGGUGAACUUUGGGAUAAUAGCAUUAUUUUUAAAGUUUUAAAAGUUAUUGCCUAAAUUGUUUUAAAAUAAAUUGUUAUUAAUUUUAUAAUGUAAGAGCAAUAGAUGAAUAUGCUAAAUAAUUAAAAUUGUACCAAAGAGUUUUUAUUAAAAAGAUACUUGCAUGAACAACUGCUGCCUUUGCCAUAGGCCCAGCUACCAUUACUAAAUGUUUUGAUCAAAGAUUCUGUAGAAGAAUUCUGAUUAAGAGGGGAAAAAUGCUGAAGAGAAUUUCACAUUCUUAUAGACUCCAGACUUUCUGGAGCCAAGGAGGCUAGAUGAACCCCCAAAACUAUUGCCCUGAGAUAAUCUUUAAACCUUAAGCCAAAAAUAUCCCCCGAAGUAUUCUUUAAACCAAACAAUUAAAAGAAAAACAAAAACCCACUGCCAUCAAGUCAAUUCCAACUCAUAAUGACCCUAUAGUACAGAGUAGAACUGCCCCACAGAAAAUCCAAGGAGUACCUGGUGGGUUACCUUUUGGUUAGCAGCCGUAGCACUUAACCACUAUGCCACCAGGGUUUCCAGAAACCAGACAAUAAAAAAAAAACCAGUUUAGCUUAAUUAGUAAAGAAUGUCUGCCUUGAGCAUUGUACUCUUUUAAAAAACUAUGUAUAAUAGAUCAAAUUGACAUGAGCAGCUUGAAACAGUAGAUAGGAAACUUAGGGGUCAGUGAGCUUAUGUUAACCAGGGAGAAACUAUUUGGUAAAGGCAGGUGAGAAUGGUUGCACAAAUUGAAAAAUAUAAUCAAUGUCACUGAAUUGUACAUGCAGAAAUUGUUGAACUGGUGUAUGUUCUGUAUAUAUUCUCAACAACAACAAAAAUAAAUUUUUUUUUCAAAAGAUACUUAACUGCUUCCCAUUCCAGAACCCCUGCUCAUAGUUUCUUCUGUAUUAUUCUAGAAAUGGAUACUUUUCUUAAACACACAUUUAACACACUGUUCUUUUUUUUUAACUUAAUAGUAAAUCUUGGUUUCACUUCAUAUGGGUAAAUAUAGAUCUAUCUUGUUCUUUUGAAUGGAUGCAUAUUUUUCCAUUGGAUGUGCUAUAAAUUAUUUAUCCACUAUCCUGUCAAUGAACUUUUAAUUGUUUACAAUUUUUGUCACUGUGAGAAAGGGCUUACCAUAUCUUUGUGGCACACUUCUUUUCAGAGCAACUAAUUUAUGAUUAUAACAUAUAGUGAAAAUCAUUGGGGAAAUAGUAUUCACUAAUUUAAAAAAAAAGCAAGGAUUUAGGGAAAACUGCUGGCCUAUAUAUGUUUGAUUAAAUGAGGUCCAUUUGGAUAUAAAAUAUCCUAAAGGAAAAUGAAUAAAAUUUAGCGUUUGGUACUGCAUUUUAACCGACUGGCUAUCUUUUAAUAAUCACAUCAUCACUACUAAAAGCUUUACUCCUUGUUAUGGGUUGACUUGUGUCCCCCUGGUGACCUGAACCCUGGGUGCAGUGGUUAAGUGUUUGGCUGCUCACCAAAAGGUUGGCAGUUCGAAUCCACCAGCUGCUCCUUGGAAACCAUAUGGGGCAGUUCUACUCUGUAUUAUAGGGUCACUCACUGUGAGGUGGCAUUGACUUGACAGUAACGGGUUUGAUUUUGUUUUGAUGACCUGUGAAUGUGACCUUGUUUGGAAAUAGGGUCUUUAAAAAUAUUAUCAGUUAACAUGAGGUAAUUGAAAGAGUAGGAAAAAAAAAGUCAUCAUGUGAAUUCCAAGUCAUGGAGACCCCACGUGUGUCAGAAUAGAACUGUGCUCCAUAGGGUUUUCAAUCACUGAUCUUUUGGAAUUAGAUUGACAGGCCUUUCUUCCAAGGUGCCUCUGGGUGGACUUGAACCUCUAACCUUAUGAUUAACAGCCAAGGGCCUAAUGGUCUGUACUACUCAGUGACUCCUACUGGAGUAGGGUGGGCCCUGAUUUAAUAUGAGUAAAUGUCCUUAUAAAAGAAAUACCAAGACAGAGAAAGGUCAGCCAUGUGAAGCUUUAGCCGCAAGCCAAGGAACACUUGGGACUACUAGAAGCUGGAAGAGACAAGAAUAAGAAAGGAUCUUUUCUUAGAGCCUUCCCAGAGAGCAUGGCCCAGCCGACAUCCUGGAUGUUGACUUCUAGCCUCCAGAAGUGUGAGACAAUAACUUUCUGUUGUUUUAAGCCACCUACUUUGUGGUACUUUGUUACAGCAGUCCUUGGAAACUAAUUUACUAACUAUAAAUCAGGCUAGCCUGCUACAGCAGUUGUUGAUUGGCUGUUUUGACUGACGGUGAGGGAUAACUCUGGUAGUGGGUUAGGACUAUGAUUUCAACUGCAAUAUUUUUUGAUUUGCUUUCACAGCUGACUCCUUUUGGUGAAAGUGCUGUGUCACAUACUCGAAUAAACAGAAUCAAAUGACUUAGAGUUGACCUUCCCUGACCAUUAAUCCUUUCCAGGGCCCUCAAAACUAGGGUUGGGAAAUACUGUAGAAGAAGCUUAGUGUCAUCGUGUAUUUCAGUCACCAGGGAAUGAUUUGGCAUCUUUUUUUCCUUAUCUGUAGCAUGCAGUUUUUCAGAGAUGAGAGCAGGAAAGAAAGAAUUUCAAUCCAUCAGCAUCACAUGAGAUACUCUGUGCUGUGGGUGUUCACUGCUCGGUCUGUAUGCCUCAUCCAGUCUCCUUUUGGUGGUCAAUGACUAGAUGGUCUGUUAGAAUUAGUCAGCUGUCAUAUAAGAGAAGAUAUCAUAUAGAAAGGUCAUUAAAUCAGCAACCUUGGCCUUAAUAAUAAUUCUGAAUCUGCUGUGAUUGCAGUAAUCUAAAGUAAGGAUACUACACUGGUCAAUGUCUUCCUUCUAGGGCUAAAGUUCAAUUUAAAUCAAUCAUUCUGGAUAUAUCAGGUGAUUAAUUGCUAUAUUACACAGCAUAUGGGUAUAUUGUUAACAGCUUCUUUAGAAGGGAAAAAUGAUCCACAGGGUUUAUUUUUAUCACUUUAUUUCUUCUAUUUUGUCAUUUUAAACAAAUUUCCUCAAAUGGCCAGAGUCCAAAGUGGCUGUUAUUACUGUUUACCUGACCAUACAGCUUCAAAUUCCGGUUACAGUGAAACUCUGUGUGUGGUUAGACUGUUUUGUUGUUGUUCUAAGUUAAACACAAACAAUCCAGGGGUAUGAUAGUGAACAACACAGACAAUGGGAAAUUAAAUGUGGUAUAUUAAGUUAGUUAAGAUGGAGAAAUUACGCAUGGCCAACUUCCCUCAUUCCUUCUUUCUUUAUUCAGUACUGGUAGUCCCUGACUUACAAUGUAUUUGAGUUACGACAAACCACACUUACCACCAUCUGGUUUUUCUUUCUAUUUUUUUUUUUUUUGGUGCAUCUUAUUGUUAGUAAAAUGUAUUACAUACAUUGUUGCAGCACGUAAAAGGACCAUACAGAGGACUCUCACUAAUUUACCACCUAGAAACACCAUCUCCACUCCCAGGGAUAAUUCAGAUGAUCCAGAACCUUCCACAAGUGGAGUUAUUACUGCAACUGACAAAAUGCCAAUGUUGUCCAUUUUUUUACAGAUGUGUGUAUUUUUUUAUGUAUGUAUUAAAAUAUAUCCGUAAGUUUAUAUGUAAUGUUUCCAACCCCCAAAGACAAGGAUCAGAUUUUUAAAGAUAUUGAUAAUAAAAGGCAAUAAUAACUAAAACAAAAGAAAAAUGAGGUAUCGAACUUACAUCAGAAUGAAUUUACAAUGGAGUCGUUGGAACUCUAUUGUAAGUUGGGAACUGCCUGUAUAUACUCACUGAAAACUAACUGUGUGAUAAACACUGUUCUAAGUGCUGGGGCUAAAACAAAGUGGUGUUCUCUUGGAGCUCAUUUCUCUGUAUAACUGAUGCAUUUGUAGGUCUGAUUCUACAUCCCAAGAUAGCUGGAGUGAAAGAUCAAAAUGAAGUAAAGAAACGGAGGGUACAUAAGGAUGUGUCUUCUGGAAUAUAAAAAAUACACAGGCAAAGCCAUAGAGAAAGAAUAGAGUAAAAAAGAGAGGGAAAGACAGCUAGGGGGGACAAGGAGAAUGCUAUGGCUUGAAUCGGGUCCCUCAAAAUAUGUGUUGAAGUCCUAACCCCUGUAUUUGUAAAUAUGAGUCUGUUUGGAAAUAGGGUCUUUCUUUUGUUAUGUUAAUACUGUCCUAACAGAGUAGGGUAGUAUGGUGGUCAUAAACCUAAUCACUUCUAUGUAGUACUUUAUAAAAAGAGGAGAAUAGACACAGUACACACACGCAGGGGGAAGACAGAUACCAUGUGAGGAUCAUUUAUAAACAAAGGAACACCAAAGAUUGCUGGUGGUCACCAGAAACUAAUAGAGGCCCACGGAAAAUUUCAACAUGGUUAAGAUGCUGAUUUGGACUUUUAGCCUUCAGAACUAUAAUGAAUUAAAUUUCUGUUCUUUAAAAACACAUACUUAUGGUAUCUCUCGUUGCGUCAGCACUAGGUAACUAAGACUACUACCACUCCUGUUGCCAUGGAGUCUAUUCCAACUCAUGGUGAUUCCAUGCAUGUCAGAGUAGAACUAUGCUCCAUAGGAUUUUCCAUGGCUGAUUUUUCAGAAGUAGAUUCCCAGAUCUUUCUUUCAAGGUACCUCUGGAUGGACUCAAACUUCCAACCUUUUGGUUAGCAGCAGAGUGCCUUAACAGUUUGCUCCACCAUGGACUCUUAAGACAGGGAAAGAGAUAUCAAGGACCUUAUCUCUAUUCCAUUACUUAAGAGUUAUCCCUGCUUCUUUAGGACAGACUGUGUAUAAGCCAUCUCCAUAUUCCAUGCAGCUAACACAGUGCCUGGGAGAGUAUUGUCAGACCUAGAUGGUCAGAUUAUUCACUAACUGUGGGACCCUGGGCAACUACCAGAAUGUCUUUAAGACUUAGGCUCCUCAGGGGUAAAAUGCUGAUAACAUCUACCUCACACAGCUGUUUUAUAUAAUAAUAAAAGCUAACGGUGUUUACUAGUGCUUACUAGUUCUAAGCUCUUCAAAUAUAUUAACUCUCUUAAUGCUGAUAAAAAUCUUUAGAGGUAGGUAUUAUUAUUGCCCCAUUGUAUAUAUGAGGAAAGUGAGGCACAGAAAGAUUAGAAAUAAACUGCACACUCUAAUGCCAAGGGUGUUUCUUACCUCCUCCUACUCCAUUUUUUGGUGAGUAUUGAACCCCCAUGCCUUCAUGGAACUGUGAUAGAUAAUGCAGAUACAAGGGGGAGCACAACGUAUCUGCUUCUUGUGCUCCUGGAAUUUAUGGUCAUUAGUCCAGUAACAUGAUCUUUCACAGGUUCUCAGCCUACCCAGUUUUCUCGCAUUUCUCUGUCAGUCCAUUAGACCUCUGAUCAACUAGCCGAGGGUUGAACACGGUAAGCAGAACCCUCUGGGCCUCCUAAAGGGCUGAGGCUGGUACCAGGUAACUACGGGUGAAAAGGCAGACUGACAUUCCUCUCCACAGCGACUCGAAGUCUCCUCUCCUUAACCUAGGCUUUAAAUGGAGGAAUUUGAAGCAAGGUGCUUCCCAGGACUAACCUGUAUUCAUUCCCCGCCCUCCUCCCUAGAGGCCUAGCUGACCUAUUCCUGACCUUGCGUUCCUCUGCGAGAGUUGCGUUCCCCU